UGUCCCCUGCGGGGUGCGUGAUGUGCAGCAGAAAUUCGAACCGAUACGUCCAUUCCGGGGGCCGUACCGGGGUUCCAUGCGUCAGGCCCGGGGCAGCCGGCACUCGCCGACGACCCGGGAGACCUACGGCACCUCACCUCGGCUCCCACCUGGCUCAACUGGGUUCAAUGGACGCUGCGCACACGGCCCAGCGGCGGGGGACGU
RNAcentral lists this non-coding RNA (204 nucleotides) under Myxococcaceae bacterium. Its description in RNAcentral is "6S RNA". It matches the Rfam family "6S / SsrS RNA". Rfam says of the family: E. coli 6S RNA was the first non coding RNA to be sequenced, but its function was unknown until recently. The record is from RNAcentral. Lineage: Bacteria; Pseudomonadati; Myxococcota; Myxococcia; Myxococcales; Myxococcaceae.